RNAcentral lists this ribosomal RNA (270 nucleotides) under uncultured bacterium. Its description in RNAcentral is "partial 16S ribosomal RNA". It matches the Rfam family "Bacterial small subunit ribosomal RNA", at positions 28 to 303 of the family's 1533-position model. The record is from RNAcentral.
GACGAACGCUGGCGGCGUGCUUAACACAUGCAAGUCGAGCGGAAAGGCCCUUCGGGGUACUCGAGCGGCGAACGGGUGAGUAACACGUGAGCAACCUACCCUCAGCUCCGGGAUAGCUCCGGGAAACCGGAAUUAAUACCGGAUACGACCACGAUCGACAUCGGCCGUGGUGGAAAGGAUUCCGGCUGAGGAUGGGCUCGCGGCCUAUCAGCUAGUUGGUGGGGUAACGGCCCACCAAGGCUUCGACGGGUAGCCGGCCUGAGAGGGCGA